Molecule: ribosomal RNA, 448 nt
Filed under: Melanotranes roei
Lineage: Eukaryota; Metazoa; Arthropoda; Insecta; Coleoptera; Curculionidae
Description: eukaryotic LSU rRNA
Source: RNAcentral
GACGUGAACCGUUUAGGGGUAAACCUGAGAAACCCGAAAGGUCGAAGGGAGAAAUUCAUUCGCGUCUCGCCGCAGGCGGCGGGCGGUCGUGUGACGGAAAGCGUUCGCGUUUUCCGCGCCUUCCGUCCGUCGAACCGGCGGCGAACGCGUGCACUUUUCUCCUGGUAGGACGUCGCGAUCCGUUGGGUGUCGGUCUACGGCUCGCGGUGGAGCCCGUCCGUAUCCGUACGGACGGACCCGCGUGUCCCGGCCGACUGGCUCGACGGUAUACGAAAGGUUUAGGGCCGCUCUAGGAGCGUUCGGCUCGUGGCAAGCGCGCCAGAUGUGUCGGCGAUCGGACCGAGUGCCGAUUCUGACCUCUGGUGACUGUUGGCUACGAUGUUCUCGAACAGACCCCGGACCGAUCUGCGACGCUAUAGCUUUGGGUACAUUCAGGACCCGUCUUGAA